Molecule: long non-coding RNA, 3432 nt
Organism: Silurus meridionalis
Lineage: Eukaryota; Metazoa; Chordata; Actinopteri; Siluriformes; Siluridae
Exons: 3
Source: RefSeq, a predicted model, not a curated record
CUCCACAGUGGUGCAGAAGUGUGUGCUGUGAUAUUACAGUUUAUCUGUUUACUGCUGGUUUAUGUGGGUUUUUGGCUGUAACCUCCUGUCGUCUGCGUGAUAGUUCGGUUUGCUUGGUGUAGUGUGGUGGUAAACACCUGAAACUGAAUCCGUGGUGCAUCAGUCAGAAUUGAUCCUGAGUACAAACUCAGUGUGAAAACAGCAGACAGGAUAACUGGGUUAUGAAGCAGCUUUAUUCCUUCAUGACCAGAUCCUGUGAUGAUCCUCAUCGACUGCAGUGCAGCUGAGGAGAUACACCGUGCUCUGACCUGUACAAUGCCCAAGCCUUUAUGUGAGGAGAAUGCAGAUUUUAAACCUAAAAUUAUACAAGGAAACAUCUGGCAGUGGCCUGACCUAACCUGCAGGCUUCAUGAAUCAACAGUACAGAUGUGCAGAAGAUUCCAGAUGAUUUCAGACAACGAGCAGGGCUGGUUCUGGGUCAUAGAACAGCUUCAUCUGCAAGAAUGAAACGUUCUUCCUGCCAAGCAACAGAGAAGAAACUGUACAUUUUUAGUAAAGGUGAAGCCUCCAUGAUGUUCAGUCCUUAUUUCAGAGCCCUUCUGCUUGUUUAUCAGUUUCAGGAUUAAGAGGAAAACACACAAAAGCGUCUGGUGUAGAAAUAUCAGCACUCUGCUCUACUCAGACACACACACACACACACACACACACACACACACACACACACACACACAGGCAGACCCUUCUUGGAACACUUACACACUUCUGUAUAUGGUCAUAGGUUUUCGAUAAUGCUCCAAGUAUGUGUUCCACUUCCCUCUGGCUUGGAUUUUCACCAGGCCAUUUUUCAAACCAUGAUUUACAAUAUUAAUUAGAUUGAUAUAAAUAGAGCUUCAGGUUUACCAGCCUGUAGAACUCAGUGUUAGAGUGAGGAUCCAUGUGGGGAAGGAUUUAUAUAAUAAAACAACAGCCCUAUUCAGCCAAUAAAUACAAAUUCAAGUCACAAAAGUCACAAAAUAGAAAAACAGACAGGAAAUGGACACAAAAACACAGGAUUCAACAAACUAGGAGUAAAAAUCAAAACAUAGUAAAAACACACAGAACACACACAUCGACCUGCGUGUAACUAAAGAUGAGAUCGGGUUAAAACCGUGGUCAUGUCACUGUUCUGUGUAUCUGGUAUAUGUGCUUCUUCACCAGCGUUUUUAACUUCUCCAGAUCUACUCAUUUAUAGCAGAUAUCUCAGCAGGUUCUCCACACCAUAGGAAUAAAGACCUCAAAAUACUCAAUAAGAAAUUCUUCUGAUUUCCUGGUUUAAGUGUUUUAGCUGACCUUUUGAUCAUAGUUGGUGUUCUAAUGAGAGACUAGUCCUAAUAUUGGUCAGAAUGUCAGGAAAACCAUCUGGAUAUGAAAUGAAAUCUGUUUUCAGGGUUGGAUGGAUAUAUGAUAUAUAUAUCUGUGGGCAGAUUCCUGGUUCGUUCUGGACUGUGCACAUUCUUGACAGAGUCUUGCAUCCUGCAUUAAAAUGUUCAGUGAAUGCUAACAAAGGUUGAUGGUAUUCUGGAUUUCCUUGGCGUCUGGAAUGGUUCCCACAUGGUUUAAAAAACAAAUAUUUCUGUACGUUUGUCAUUUUGAAGUCUAGUGAUGUUCAUGAUGUUCCAGAAACCUUAUUGUCAUUUAUUGUCUUGUCCAUUCCUACAAUUCCAGAAUGGAUCUCAGGAACUCUUCCAAAAGUAUCUCACACAUGCCAGUCUCAACGAACUCUCGAUUCUCUUGUAGUCAUGUGUGAUCUUGAUAUACAAUGGUAAGAACAUAAUCUGUAAGUAAUUCAAAAAUGGUUCAAGAAGCAGAAGACUGAGGAGGCAUUGAGCAGUCCAUAUGAUAUUCAUGAUGUUUGGUAAUUAAGGUAAUUAAUGUUUUGUAUUGAUCCUCCUCUCUGAGAUGUUUGAGGUUGUAGGUGUAUGUAAAUUCCAGGUGGUAAAGAUACAUGUGCUUUGUUCCUGCUGUAUAAGUGUUGGUGGUGCCAGAGGUAAAAGAGAUCUACACUGUAUAGUGAUUAUUCAGUUCUUUAUUGUCGGAGCAGGAAAGUACUGAACAUAUCCCAGAGUUAAUGCCUCCUUUUUACACUUCACCACCGCCUGUGCUGCUGGCAAUGAUGGAUAAACAUUAUUCUGUUGGACGAGGUUCAGAAAUCCAGUCAUGUAAUGAAGAGGCAGUUAAUGUCUAGAUGAGGAUCUGGGCAGUUUUGUGUCCAUCUUGGUUCUACAACAUCCACAGUAAGACCAAGUGUAUUGUUUUUAACAAUAAAGAUAAAGAAUAGAGAUUUGUCACAAUGUUCAUUCGUAUAAGUAAUAUUCUAAUCAAACUGAAUUGAGUAGUGAAUCCAUUCCAGAAGCAGACAUGAAAGACCAAGCCAUGGUACUGCCUCCACUGGGCUUGAGUAAUAAACUCAUAGGAGCUUUGGAUCAUGAGCAGGUCCUUUCUUUUUCUGAACUUUGGGCUUUUUUUCCACUAGAGGUCGGUCCUGAUCUUAUCUGUUCAUAAAACUCAGAACACCUCAUUUAGAGCUCAUCUCAAUAUUCGGAAUUUUCUCAUGGCCAAACGUAUCACUUCUUUCUUCUUAGAACUUAAUCUUGCAUGACCCACAUCCAUAAAGUCAUUCUAACUCACUUUGAUGGAAAGUGCUUGUUUAUUGUGGUAAAUAUGAAGGAGACCAGUCCAGCACUCACCCAGUAGGUCAUUCUAUUUUAUAUGUGGAAUACACCGUACAGAGGAGAGAUUUAUUGGAGAUAUCUGAAGAUUUUUGCUUUAGAAGUAAGAAUAAUAAAAUGUCUUUCAUUCGUAGGUUUGCUGUUUAACAAACAUACAAAAAACUUUCGGAUGAAUUGAUGUCAGUUUAUGGAAUUGAACACAGUUAAAAAGCACUGUGCACUAACGUCUUUCUAACUCUAGAUCCCUCAUCCAGAGAAAAUGGUGGCCUUAUGUCUCUGGUGUUUGGUCUGUACAACAGAUGGUAACAUCUUCACUAAGUUUUAAUUCCUUUUGUGUAGAAGGAACACAUUCAGAUUCAUGCUGAAAACUUCUCUCUGAGAUUUAUCGACCCAGAAUCCCAGUGUGAAGGCACAUGCAUUAUGGAAAUGUUAUAAAUACCACAUAAAUAUGUUUAUCUUCUCAUAAACACAACCUGGAACUACUGCAUCAGUGAAGGAAAGUUCUGGUAGAUCAAAAUAAUACGGCUGAAGGUAUUGAUGAUAUUAGUGAUUUUUAGUGUCCAUAUUUGACAAAAUAUCAAACGUUUAUAGAAACCAGAGGAAUAUAAAUUUGUUAGAGGCCGAGGCUCUGGUCCAUCACCUGCUCAUGAUCCAGCCAUGCCAGUGCAGAGGGAAGAAAGAAAAGAGAGCGAGGAAGUUUAUAUAGUCAACACUGGAACUUUUG